RNAcentral lists this long non-coding RNA (385 nucleotides) under Nicotiana benthamiana. RNAcentral's name for it is "long non-coding RNA (NBEN_LNC015113)". The record is from RNAcentral. Lineage: Eukaryota; Viridiplantae; Streptophyta; Magnoliopsida; Solanales; Solanaceae.
UAAAUGGAAUGUUGACAGGGAUCCUCUGUCGGAAACCAAACGAGACCGAAACGUCGACCCAUAAUGGAAAUCUCGCUUAUGACACUGCAUAUACUCGGUUUCAUGAAGUUCUACAGAAAUUAAAAUUGAUAGAAAACCAUAUACCAUGACUUAUACUGUUGGGGAUCUUUUGAUGAAGGAGCUUGGACGGAAGUUUGAGACGCCAUUAAAUUUGGGACAAAGUAGACUCAAAGGCCCUUAGAGAUAGCACCAAUUCCAACCUACAUGCUUGACUCCUUCAAUUCCUCAAGUUUUCGGUGGUUGAAUAAAAUUAUUACAGCUUUGCAUAGUCAAAAUGUGGAAAUCUUUUGAUUGUUGUUUGCGCUCUUUGAUUUUUUCUAGGCGC